RNAcentral lists this long non-coding RNA (659 nucleotides) under Paramuricea clavata. Lineage: Eukaryota; Metazoa; Cnidaria; Anthozoa; Malacalcyonacea; Plexauridae. The record is from RNAcentral.
GUCAAGCUUAUUUGUUAUUAUUUUGUAUCUUUCUUUAGAGACUUGCACGCAGGCUGAAGCACGUGGAAAAGGCAAAUUGGGGUGCCCAGAAAACUGCAAGAGUGUUCGAUGUUAUGAGGGCAGGCUACUGUACAUGUCAUCAGAAGGAAGCGAGGUCAACGAAACAACAAAAAGGAUCAUGCGUUACAACGUUCGUAGGCUACCCUGGGAGAGUCCAUCUCUAUACGAAGGGCAAAGAAAAAGUUAGACAGGCUCCACACCUUGUCUUUGUCAGAACUGGUACGGAGCAGAAUUGUUCCUCGCGAGGAUGGACAGCCCUCCAUUCGACCUAAGCCAAACGACUUCCCGGAGUGGGCAGCUAAGAACGAGGAUGAUAAUGUUGUUGAUGAGAGUGCCCAGUCAUUAUCCCUAGUGGCUGUUCGCUGAAUGACUCUGUUAAUGACAUUUUAAAUUAUCAUGACUCUGAUUGCUAUAGUUUUUCAGUAUAGUAAAGACCCACGAUAUAUCACCCAAAGUUUUCCAUGUUCUAAUGUAUUAAGAGUGCUUUAUAUAUUUGUUGUGAACCUGCAUGGCACCUGCAUUAAACAGGUUCAUACAAAAUUCUAAAUAGAAAUGUUAGACUGAAAGGUUUUUAUUCGUGGGUUUUCAUUCUGCACGUG